UACGUAGGCAGCGAGCGUUGUUCGGAGUUACUGGGCGUAAAGGGUGUGUAGGCGGUUGCUUAAGUUUGGUGUGAAAUCUCCCGGCUCAACUGGGAGGGUGCGCCGAAUACUGAGUAACUAGAGUGCGGGAGAGGAAAGUGGAAUUCCUGGUGUAGCGGUGAAAUGCGUAGAUAUCAGGAGGAACACCGGCGGUGUAGACGGCUUUCUGGACCGUAACUGACGCUGAGACACGAAAGCGUGGGUAG
This 245-nucleotide ribosomal RNA is filed under the name uncultured bacterium. RNAcentral describes it as "partial 16S ribosomal RNA". It matches the Rfam family "Bacterial small subunit ribosomal RNA", at positions 524 to 768 of the family's 1533-position model. The record is from RNAcentral.